RNAcentral lists this ribosomal RNA (424 nucleotides) under uncultured bacterium. RNAcentral's name for it is "bacterial SSU rRNA". It matches the Rfam family "Bacterial small subunit ribosomal RNA", at positions 917 to 1344 of the family's 1533-position model. The record is from RNAcentral.
GGGCCCGCACAAGCGGUGGAGCAUGUGGUUUAAUUCGAUGAUACGCGAGGAACCUUACCAGGGCUUAAAUGUAGUCUGACAGAUUUGGAAACAGAUUUUUCUUCGGACAGAUUACAAGGUGCUGCAUGGUUGUCGUCAGCUCGUGCCGUGAGGUGUCAGGUUAAGUCCUAUAACGAGCGCAACCCCUGUGGUUAGUUGCCAGCGAGUCAAGUCGGGAACUCUAGCCAGACUGCCGGUGCAAACCGUGAGGAAGGUGGGGAUGACGUCAAAUCAUCACGGCCCUUACGUCCUGGGCCACACACGUGCUACAAUGGUAGGUACAGAGAGCAGCCACGUCGCAAGGCGGAGCGAAUCUAUAAAACCUAUCACAGUUCGGAUCGGGGUCUGCAACUCGACCCCGUGAAGCUGGAAUCGCUAGUAAUCG